UGGGGAAUAUUGCACAAUGGGCGAAAGCCUGAUGCAGCGACGCCGCGUGAGGGAUGACGGCCUUCGGGUUGUAAACCUCUUUCAGCAGGGACGAAGCGCAAGUGACGGUACCUGCAGAAGAAGCACCGGCUAACUACGUGCCAGCAGCCGCGGUAAUACGUAGGGUGCAAGCGUUGUCCGGAAUUACUGGGCGUAAAGAGUUCGUAGGCGGUUUGUCGGGUAGUUUGUGAAAACCAGCAGCUCAACUGCUGGCUUGCAGGCGAUACGGGCGGACUUGAGUACUGCAGGGGGGACUGGAAUUCCUGGUGUAGCGGUGAAAUGCGCAGAUAUCAGGGGGAACACCGGUGGCGAAGGCGGGUGUCUGGGCAGUAACUGACGCUGAGGAACGAAAGCGUGGGUAGCGAGCAGG
RNAcentral lists this ribosomal RNA (409 nucleotides) under bacterium. RNAcentral's name for it is "partial 16S ribosomal RNA". It matches the Rfam family "Bacterial small subunit ribosomal RNA", at positions 355 to 776 of the family's 1533-position model. The record is from RNAcentral.